RNAcentral lists this ribosomal RNA (253 nucleotides) under uncultured bacterium. RNAcentral's name for it is "partial 16S ribosomal RNA". It matches the Rfam family "Bacterial small subunit ribosomal RNA", at positions 524 to 776 of the family's 1533-position model. The record is from RNAcentral.
UACGGAGGGAGCUAGCGUUGUUCGGAAUUACUGGGCGUAAAGCGCGCGUAGGCGGCUUUCUAAGUCGGGGGUGAAAUCCUGGAGCUCAACUCCAGAACUGCCUUCGAUACUGGAGAGCUUGAGUCCGGGGGAGGUGAGUGGAACUGCGAGUGUAGAGGUGAAAUUCGUAGAUAUUCGCAAGAACACCAGUGGCGAAGGCGGCUCACUGGCCCGGUACUGACGCUGAGGUGCGAAAGCGUGGGGAGCAAACAGG